Molecule: ribosomal RNA, 537 nt
Filed under: uncultured Glomeromycotina
Lineage: Eukaryota; Fungi; Glomeromycota
Description: SSU rRNA
Rfam family: Eukaryotic small subunit ribosomal RNA
Source: RNAcentral
CAGCCGCGGUAAUUCCAGCUCCAAUAGCGUAUAUUAAAGUUGUUGCAGUUAAAAAAGCUCGUAGUUGAAUUUCGGGAUCAAUAUUUCGGUCAUGCCGUUGGUAUGCACUGUUAUCAGUGAUUUCUCACCUUCUAAAAGAACCGUAAUGCCAUUAAUUUGGUGUUACGUGGAAUUAGGACUGUUACCUUGAAAAAAUUAGAGUGUUUAAAGCAGGCUCACGCUUGAAUACAUUAGCAUGGAAUAAUGAAAUAGGACAUCCGAUUCUAUUUUUGUUUGGUUUUCUAGGAUCGAUGUAAUGAUUAAUAGGGAUAGGUUGGGGGCAUUAGUAUUCAAUUGUCAGAGGUGAAAAUUUCUUGGGAUUUUAUUGAAGACUAAACUACUGCGAAAGCAUUUGCCAAGGAUGUUUUCAUUAAUCAAGAACGAAAGUUAGGGAUCGAAGACGAUCAGAUACCGUCGUAGUCUUAACCAUAAACUAUGCCGACUAGGGAUCGGAUGAUGUUAAUUUUAUAAUGACUCAUUUGGCACCUUACGGGAAAC